Molecule: ribosomal RNA, 467 nt
Filed under: uncultured bacterium
Lineage: Bacteria
Description: partial 16S ribosomal RNA
Rfam family: Bacterial small subunit ribosomal RNA
Source: RNAcentral
ACGAACGCUGGCGGCGUGCUUAACCCAUGCAAGUCGAACGGAAAGGCCCUGCUUUUGUGGGGUGCUCGAGUGGCGAACGGGUGAGUAACACGUGAGUAACCUGCCCUUGACUUUGGGAUAACUUCAGGAAACUGGGGCUAAUACCGGAUAGGAGCUCCUGCUGCAUGGUGGGGGUUGGAAAGUUUCGGCGGUUGGGGAUGGACUCGCGGCUUAUCAGCUUGUUGGUGGGGUAGUGGCUUACCAAGGCUUUGACGGGUAGCCGGCCCGAGAGGGUGACCGGCCACAUUGGGACUGAGAUACGGCCCAGACUCCUACGGGAGGCAGCAGUGGGGAAUAUUGCACAAUGGGCGGAAGCCUGAUGCAGCAACGCCGCGUGCGGGAUGACGGCCUUCGGGUUGUAAACCGCUUUCGCCUGUGACGAAGCGUGAGUGACGGUAAUGGGUAAAGAAGCACCGGCUAACUACGUG